Neogale vison (American mink) is the source of this 396-nucleotide long non-coding RNA. RefSeq lists it as uncharacterized. Lineage: Eukaryota; Metazoa; Chordata; Mammalia; Carnivora; Mustelidae. The record is from RefSeq and is a predicted model, not a curated record. The transcript is spliced from 3 exons.
UUGGCUCAUGCUGCCAUAACAAAAUACCACGGGCUGAGAGGCUUGAGAAGAGAAAUUUCUCACAGCUCUGGAGGUUUUGCAGCCAAAGAUCAAGAUACCGGCAAGUUACUCCUACUUGGAGGCCAGACUGAUGAUUCUUUGGAUACUGAGGCUGACUUUCCAGAACAGGGGGAGACUUCAUUCUAAGGAACGAAGCCUGACUGUUGGAAUAUUAGGACCUGAGCCUUCCAGGAUCCCUCUGCGGUCACUGCACUGCCAAUCUUUCAAGCACCUCCUGAAGCUAAUGGAAGACAUGUCCCAGCUCGAAACAAUAGCACUUCAGAUGAUCGGCCUGUGGAAAUGGGACCCACAGCUUCUCUCUGUACGGACACCUCCCCUCGCCAUUACCCAGCUACC